This 375-nucleotide ribosomal RNA is filed under the name uncultured bacterium. RNAcentral describes it as "bacterial SSU rRNA". It matches the Rfam family "Bacterial small subunit ribosomal RNA", at positions 527 to 898 of the family's 1533-position model. The record is from RNAcentral.
GUAGGGGGCGAGCGUUGUCCGGAUUUAUUGGGCGUAAAGCGCGCGUAGGCGGUUCGUUAAGUCGAGUGUGAAAACCCGGGGCUCAACCCCGGGCCUGCAUCCGAUACUGGCGGACUCGAGGCAGGCAGGGGAGAGUGGAAUUCCCGGUGUAGCGGUGAAAUGCGCAGAUAUCGGGAGGAACACCGGUGGCGAAGGCGGCUCUCUGGGCCUGUCCUGACGCUCAGGCGCGAAAGCUAGGGGAGCAAACAGGAUUAGAUACCCUGGUAGUCCUAGCCGUAAACGUUGGGUGCUAGGUGUGGGGCGGCGUUCGACCCGCUCCGUGCCGAAGCUAACGCAUUAAGCACCCCGCCUGGGGAGUACGGCCGCAAGGCUAAA